AGCAGCCGCGGUAAUUCCAGCUCCAAUAGCGUAUAUUAACGUUGUUGCAGUUAAAAAGCUCGUAGUUGAAGUGUGGGUGAUCGCUGUUGUGAGACUUCGGUCUCUCGACAGUAAGUCACCCCCUUCCAGUAUCCAGUAGUGGGUAUUCACUUACUUACUAUUGUGUGUUGGUCCUUUACUGUGAGAAAAUUAGAGUGUUCAAAGCAGGCGUUUGCUUGAAUAGAUAAGCAUGGAAUAAUAAUUGAAGGCUUUCGUGUUCGAUUUGAUUGGUUUGUUCAUGGAAGCAAGGUUAAAAGGAACAGUUGGGGGUAUUCAUAUUCACUAGUUAGAGGUGAAAUUCUCGGAUUUAUGGAAGAUGAACAAGUGCGA
Molecule: ribosomal RNA, 369 nt
Filed under: Blastocystis hominis
Lineage: Eukaryota; Bigyra; Opalinata; Blastocystidae
Description: SSU rRNA
Rfam family: Eukaryotic small subunit ribosomal RNA
Source: RNAcentral